Corticium candelabrum is the source of this 1521-nucleotide long non-coding RNA. RefSeq lists it as uncharacterized. Lineage: Eukaryota; Metazoa; Porifera; Homoscleromorpha; Homosclerophorida; Plakinidae. The transcript is spliced from 5 exons. The record is from RefSeq and is a predicted model, not a curated record.
AUCCGGGAAUUCUACGCGGCAAUUGGUUCGCGUUGCGGUUGUCUUCUGUACACUGUACACUGGGCUAUGAUUAUUAUUGGUCAACAGCACGUCUUGUGUUGCGAAUUUUGUCGAGACGUUACGGGCGCGACACGUGUCAUGACGUGUGAUGUGGUGUGACGUCACGACUGUUAAACGGGAGAAAAACGGGAUAGAGAAAAUAUCAAAUGAAAGGUUGGUUACGUGAAAGUGUUGUUAUAUUUCUAUUCAAGUUAUUUAAUUAGUUGACUAUUUUUACUGAAAAUAUUGAAUUUUGGCGAAUUUGUAUAGACCACGCAUUUGAAAUUGUAUGAAUUUUGUUUGUCUAAUAUUUGGCAAUUAUGUUUACGCAAGAUGUUUUGGAAUAUAUGAUAUCCCACUGACUAACUGAGUAUGAGUAGAUAGUUUGGUAAUAUAAAAUAUAAAAAAAUGAAAUUAAUAAAAUAAAUAAAUAAAUAAAAUAAAUAAAUACAACAAAUAAAUAAAAUAAAUAAAUAAAAUAAAAUAAAUAAAAAAAAAAUAAAUGAAUAAAAUCAAAAAUAAAAUAAAUAAAUAAAAUAAAUAAAAUAAAUAAAUAAAAUAGAAUAAAAUAUAUAUAUAUAUAUAUAUAUAUAUAUAUAUAUAUAUAUAUAUAUAUAAAAUAAACAAAUAAAUAAAAUAAAUUAAAUAAAUAAAUAAAAUAAAGUAAAUGGUAAGUUAGACGUCUGAAAUUUUGGGACAACACUUAAUUGCUAAUCUGGUACAGGAUGGACUUUAGAAAACCCGAGGGUGAGCAUUAUGUACGUAUACAGAACCUGCACUCAAGCAUUACCGUUUACCGUUUCGUUUCCAUAGCGACAGUGAACCCUACGUUUUCCGGAGUCUAUUUACUUCAUCAUUCCUGCUUGCUAGAGCAGUUUGCGAAGUCUUGUGUUCACGAAUAGAUGAUUGUACACAAGGAAUCUCAUGAAAACGUUUGUCCAUCGAUCCACACUAGCUAGAGAUAGGCUGUCCUCCCCCACUUCCUCAAUGCAACGACCUCACGAGACAAAUCGUAUCUUGUGACAUUCUUGGAUAAAUUCCCCGGACGAUUGCAAGUCGUUGAGAGCAGGAGUGGUCAAUCUUGUUGAGAAUACCGAGUAGCAACCAUGCAGCAGCAAUCGAACGUCGUCGUUGUGGCGGCUCCAUCAGCUCCCGCGCAUCACACCACCGUCGUUGUGGACAGACGUGGUCCCAAUCACUGUCUUCAUUUCUGCAUUACUCUUUUCUUCUUUCCGUGGAUUAUCGUUUGGAUCAUUGUGUGCCUCACAGACAACUAGAUGGCUGCUCGAUGUACUUGCAGAGUCGUUGAGACCUUGGACGGACACUCCAGUACAAUAACUUCAUGCUGUACAUGUUUUGUUAGUGUUUGCUGAGCGCGCGUUUCUCUAGCCCUAACGGGUAGCACUGUUUGUGUGUUUGUACCUUGCAAUGCUUGAUUCGAUGGUUUGAGCUACCCAAAUAAUUACUACCCAUAUAAUUGGA